AGGUUAAGAUAAUAAGAGCGCAGGGUGGAUGCCUUGGCACUAAGAGCCGAUGAAAGACGUGAUAAGCUGCGAAAAGCUGCGGGGAGGAGCAAAUAUCCCAUGAUCCGCAGAUAUCUGAAUGGGGAGACCCGGCCAGGAAGACCCUGGUCACUGCAUGGUGAAUCCAUAGCCAUGCAGGGGGAACCCGGUGAACUGAAACAUCUAAGUAGCCGGAGGAAGAGAAAGAAACAUCGAUUUCGUAAGUAGCGGCGAGCGAACGCGAAAGAGCCCAAACCGGAAUGCGUGCAUUCCGGGGUUCGGACUGCAUACGGUAUUGGCAGAAGAUAGGAGAAAGGUUUUGGAAAAGCCUGCCGGAGAGGGUGAGAGCCCCGUAUCCGAAAUCAGGAGCCAGCCAGCAGGAUCCAGAGUACCACGAGACACGUGAAACCUUGUGGGAAUGAGCGGGGACCACCCCGUAAGGCUAAAUACUACUUAGUGACCGAUAGCGCAUAGUACUGUGAAGGAAAGGUGAAAAGGACCCCGGGAGGGGAGUGAAAGAGAACCUGAAACCCUGUGUUUACAAGCUGUGGAACUAUUUUAAAGUAGGACCGCGUACUUUUUGUAGAACGGUCCGGCGAGUUGCCACUGCUGGCAAGGUUAAGUGCCAGAGGCACGGAGCCGAAGGGAAACCAAGUCUUAAUAGGGCGAAAGUCAGCAGGGGCAGACCCGAAACCGGGUGACCUAUCCAUGUCCAGGUUGAAGCUGCCGUAAGAGGCAGUGGAGGACCGAACCCACAUCCGUUGAAAAGGGUGGGGAUGAGGUGUGGAUAGCGGAGAAAUUCCAAUCGAACCCGGAGAUAGCUGGUUCUCCUCGAAAUAGCUUUAGGGCUAGCCUCAUGAUAGUCUGCUGGAGGUAGAGCACUGAAUUGCCUAGGGGGCGUCAAAGCUUACCAAAGCAUAUCAAACUCCGAAUGCCAGACAGAUGUUUCAUGGGAGUCAGACCAUACGAGAUAAGUUGGAUGGUCAAAAGGGAAAGAGCCCAGACCACCGGCUAAGGUCCCAAAGUGCGUGUUAAGUGGAAAAGGAUGUGGGAUUUCGAAGACAACUAGGAUGUUGGCUCAGAAGCAGCCAUUCAUUCAAAGAGUGCGUAAUAGCUCACUAGUCGAGAGGUCCUGCGCCGAAAAUGUCCGGGGCUGAAACACGACACCGAAGCCGUGGAAUCACGUAGUGAUUGGUAGAGGAGCAUUCUUAAACGGUGGAAGCUGUACCGGAAGGAGCAGUGGACGGUUAAGAAGAGAGAAUGCCGGAAUGAGUAGCGAGAAAGAAGUGAGAAUCUUCUUGGCCGAAUAUCUAAGGUUUCCAGAGUAAAGCUGAUCUGCUCUGGGUAAGUCGGGGCCUAAGGCGAGGUCGAAAGACGUAGUCGAUGGAUAACAGGUUGAGAUUCCUGUACCGCAUGAAAUCAGAACUGUGGGGACACAGACAGGAAGAGGGAGCCGGGAAUGGAAAGUCCGGUCCAAGCGAGGUAGGAGUACCGAUGGCAAAUCCGCGGUGCGAUCCGAAGACGUGACGGGGAGCGAACAUAAGUAGCGAAGCCCUUGCCCCUGGCUGUCAAGAAAAGCCGCUAUCGUAUUUCAUGUGCCCGUACCGUAAACCGACACAGGUGGAUGAGGAGAGAAUCCUAAGGCCGACGGGAGAAGUGUUGUUAAGGAACUCGGCAAAAUGGCCCCGUAACUUCGGGAGAAGGGGUGCCUGCGAGAGCAGGCCGCAGAGAAUUGGCCCAAGCAACUGUUUAGCAAAAACACAGGUCUAUGCAAAACCGCAAGGUGAAGUAUAUGGGCUGACGCCUGCCCGGUGCUGGAAGGUUAAGGGGAGGGCUUAGAGCAAUCGAAGGUCUGAACUUAAGCCCCAGUAAACGGCGGCCGUAACUAUAACGGUCCUAAGGUAGCGAAAUUCCUUGUCGGGUAAGUUCCGACCCGCACGAAAGGCGUAAUGAUUUGGGCACUGUCUCAACAACACACCCGGUGAAAUUGAAAUACCAGUGAAGAUGCUGGUUACCCGCGCCAGGACGGAAAGACCCCAUGGAGCUUUACUCUAGCUUGAUACUGGGAUUCGGUACUGCAUGUACAGGAUAGGUGGGAGACGUGGAAUCAUGGACGCCAGUCCAUGAGGAGUCGCUGUUGGGAUACCACCCUUGCAGUAUUGGAUUUCUAACCAGCAGCCGUGAUCCGGCUGGGGGACAAUGUCAGGUGGGGAGUUUGACUGGGGCGGUCGCCUCCGAAAGGGUAUCGG
This 2267-nucleotide ribosomal RNA is filed under the name Anaerostipes sp. 992a. RNAcentral describes it as "bacterial LSU rRNA". It matches the Rfam family "Bacterial large subunit ribosomal RNA", at positions 1 to 2303 of the family's 2925-position model. The record is from RNAcentral. Lineage: Bacteria; Bacillati; Bacillota; Clostridia; Lachnospirales; Lachnospiraceae.